AAACAUAUGUUAUUCAUCAAUUUAUUUGGUACAUCCCAUAGAUGGCAUAAUAACAUCAAGAUAAAACUGAUACCAUCUGUAAAGUACCUUGUGUAGUUCAACCCCGAGGAAUAAAACCUAAUAAUACAAUAUAACUAUAAACUCUAUCAACAGGCAUCACCCAUCAGUAUAUACAGAAAACUUGAUACACAACAACACACCUCUAGCUAGCAUUACAAAUAGCAAAGCAGACAACUCAUAAAUCGCUUUAUUCCUUUCUUACCCUUCAGCUGGUUUGGGCAUGUGUUCUUUUGUAUACACACGGUGCCGCCUUUCUCUCCCAUAUAUGACCCAGAAUGUAAGGGAAAGCAAUACAGCUAAACCAACCAUCACCAGUCCAAUGUAAACCCAUUUGCUGUAACGCUGAAGUCCGGGGCAGUAUAUGCGAUAUAUAUCUCCAAAUGUCUGCCUAACAAAAUCACAAUCUUCUAGAUCAACCAGGAAAGGACCAUAAUGGUACAAUCCAAAGCUCACAUUUACAGCAGCUGCCAUCUGGCCGUAGAUGAUCGGAGUCAGACGGCCAGUUGUGGAACAAAUGCCACUAGGGGAAACUUGACAUACAUAAUUAUCCCAGACCUUUGUAGCAUUGCUCAAGUCCACUUCACCAGGACUACAGGAUCUAUCAGUCAAAUCCGAGUAAAACGGAUUGCAAAGCAUAGGUAGUUUAGGUCCAGACUGAUUGUAGUACAAAGGACGAAAGCUAGGGGAGAAGUUGUUAUUGGAAAUAUUAGUAAUGACCUGGUUAACAACAUCAACCAGCUUAGAAGUGACUUCUUUGCUUUUUGUAAGGGUCUCUUGUGCAGUGGCAUUGUCCACACACGGCAAGAUAUCAUCUAAAGCAGUAUGAGCAAGAGGGUGUUGGACCCAUUGAUUCAUUGCUACACAAGAGUCUGCAGUCACAUUGUGGAGAACAAGAAAUAUGCCACACAAAAUUAAAGUCCCAGUGACAAGAAUCCAUCCAAAUAUCACCAAGAUAUAAACGAAAGCCUGCAUCCCGAAUAUUGAAAGUACAAAUCCCAGAAAUGUCAAAAGAAGCAUAAUGGCUGAUAGAAUAAUAAGAGCCAAUCUCACAGACUCUACCAAACCAGCUAUGUCAUCUUUAUUGUCUUCUGUUUUAUUGGCAAGGGUAUUAGCAGAAGAAUUAAUUUUGGUUUGGAUGCGGUCUAUGUCUGUUUGGACCAAACCAGGAAGCAAAACUUGAUCCACAGCAAUAAGUUUGGCUGCAGCUAAAUAACCUGAGACGUUUCUGAGACUAUCAGCGGUGGUAUUUGCCUGAUGAACCACAUAAUCCAACGUGUUAACUGUACUGCUGUAAAACUUUCCCUGGCCAAUGUACAAAAUGAUACAUCCAACGACUGCAGCAAUGGUAAAAAGUAUGAGGAGUAUGAGGGACAGAGCAUAAGCUAUUCGGGAGUAGCCAUAAGGAACUCUUCUACAGCAACAGUAGCAGAGACAGAUGAAUAACAAGCACAGCGCGAAGAUCACAAACCAGAUCAGCGCAACGACAAAGAAUGGAGCUGCAGUGAAAGCCACAGAAGCCCAGUAAUGUCGGUUACUG
This 1597-nucleotide unclassified non-coding RNA is filed under the name Hevea brasiliensis (rubber tree). The record is from RNAcentral. Lineage: Eukaryota; Viridiplantae; Streptophyta; Magnoliopsida; Malpighiales; Euphorbiaceae.